Molecule: long non-coding RNA, 252 nt
Organism: Actinia tenebrosa (Australian red waratah sea anemone)
Lineage: Eukaryota; Metazoa; Cnidaria; Anthozoa; Actiniaria; Actiniidae
Source: RefSeq, a predicted model, not a curated record
CAACAAAAAAGGCAUUAAAAUUUAGACUGAAGAACUCCUGAGUGGACUUGAAUCUAGCUAUUAUGGGAACCUUGUGGUUGUUCUUAUUGGUCGCCGUCGUACACGUGUUCUUGCAAGAAGUUAAUGGACAAAGGUUAUUAUUCGGUAGUGGUAUUUCAUCCUGCGAUAAUAAGGUUUUGAGGGAUCAAAUCUGCCCAACUACUGAUGAUAAAGUCGACUAUAAAUAUGCUCGCAUCAAAACUUUUAAUGGCA